This 579-nucleotide ribosomal RNA is filed under the name Triticum aestivum (bread wheat). RNAcentral's name for it is "partial small subunit ribosomal RNA". The record is from RNAcentral. Lineage: Eukaryota; Viridiplantae; Streptophyta; Magnoliopsida; Poales; Poaceae.
AUGCCUCCUCUUCUGCAUCUACUCAAGCAUGCAUUUGUGUUUCUAUUUCUCUCUUACGGGUGGUGUGCUCUUCUUUACACUAUGAAGAUCCUAAACUGGAAUGUACGCGGCCUUGGCGAUGAUGACAAGUGCUCACUGGUUCGUGAUGUUAUAACCUCUUGCUGCCCCAGUGUUGUAUGCUUGCAGGAAACAAAGCUGCCCUCCCUCUUCCUCUUUAAGCUGCGGUCCUUUCUACCCGCAUCAUACAAGGAUCAUGUUGCCAUGCCUUCGGAUGGAACUGCUGGGGGAAUCCUGGUUGCCUGGGAUUCUAGUUAUGUUCUUGGUCAGCUUGUGGCCGCACACCGGUAUCAUGUCACCGUCAGAAUGUCAUCAACAACCUCUGCCAACUCCUUUCUGCUUACCGUUGUUUAUGCUCCAUGCUCGGGCAAUGAUCGGGCUGUGUUUUAUGAAGCAGUGUCUAGUGUUGCAACAGGGGCAGGGAGCACGGGCUGGAUGAUAUACAGAUCGACAAUAGGAUGUUCACUUGGUCCAACAAAAUAUCCUCCCCCACUCUUGUCCGGCUGGACCGCAUUCUUGUGA